ACAAUGAUGAUGUCACUGAUUCUACUGCUGGCCACCCUGGGGCUCCUUGUUCAGGGUUCAUCAGGACAAAUCAUCCUGACUCAGUCUCCUGGAUCUCAGUCUGUUGUUCCAGGACAGGCUGUGUCUCUCAAAUGUAAAGCCAGUACAAGUGUUUAUAACAACCUCCAGUGGUACCUUCAGAAACCUGGAGAAGCUCCUAAACUCCUGAUUUAUGCAGCUACAACUCGUCAGUCUGGAGUUCCAGAUCGUUUUAGUGGAAGUGGAUCUGGGACUGACUACACUCUGACCAUCAGUGGAGUUCAGGCUGAAGAUUCAGGAGUUUACUACUGUCAGCAGAGUCACAGCUUCCCGUUCACACAGUGAUACGUCGUACAAAAACCUCCCUCAGCUGGAGAGGAACUGAUCUGACUCAACAGCUGCACUGAAACUAAAACAGAGGUUUAUAAAAAAACAUUUAGACAAUAAUAACAACACUUUAAACAUUUCAACACUAAAUAUUCUGUAUUUAAGCCAAACAUUUAUAAUCUAAUUGAACUAUUCUUCUGAAAUUCACAGAGUAUCAUAACACUAAAAUUGUAAAUUUCAUAGGAACUUCAACAUACUUAACGAAAUAUCAUCUCAAUAAACUCUAAUUUCAUUCAUCUAGUCAAAAUGACCAAUCAUGUCUAUAACAACAUGUAUAAAUAACUUAAUUUGUGUUUUUUAUUCCAGCAAACACAUUUAUUUCAUAAUGGAACCAAAAGGUUCAUGGAGUAAAUAAAUCAGCAACAUUUGAAUUAUUUCCUUUUAUCAUCUUUAGUUUUAUUCAAGUGAAAAGGUUCUUUGGAUACACAAACAAUUACAAGAUUAAAAUUAUUACCAUUAAGACAGUUUUACCAGGGAUUUUGUUCCAAAAAGGUUUAUUAUUACAGAAAAAUCUGUAACGACAGCAGGAAAGGUUUUACAGUCAUGAAUGAAUUCAAAUUGAUUGUGAAAAAAUAUGGAAUUCUACGACCAUCACUGGUUUGUACUAAUCAAAAUAUAAUGAGGAGUUAUGUCUGACUUUAAAAUCUCUCUCAAUAUUCUGUAACUUUAGAAAUAUAUUGAUGUUAAACUGUUGUUCUCUGGAUGUAAAACAGUCACUGACACCAUCAAGAGAACAUUUAUUAAGACACUUUGAUGAUAAUAAACAUGAAAACAGCUGAUUGGAUGAAAAGGUCUUUAUUAUCUGGAAACACUGAAAUAAUAUUGAAACAGUGCAACAAGCUAGUAAAUCUUGCUGUUGAAAGAU
Molecule: non-coding RNA, 1270 nt
Organism: Micropterus salmoides (largemouth bass)
Lineage: Eukaryota; Metazoa; Chordata; Actinopteri; Centrarchiformes; Centrarchidae
Source: the annotation of a RefSeq genome assembly